Molecule: ribosomal RNA, 305 nt
Filed under: uncultured bacterium
Lineage: Bacteria
Description: bacterial SSU rRNA
Rfam family: Bacterial small subunit ribosomal RNA
Source: RNAcentral
UUUGACCUACGGGAGGCAGCAGUGGGGAAUAUUGGGCAAUGGGCGCAAGCCUGACCCAGCAACGCCGCGUGAGGGAAGACGGUCUUCGGAUUGGAAACCUCUGUCUUUGGGGAAGAAGAUGACGGUACCCAAAGGGGAAGCUCCGGCUAACUACGUGCCAGCAGCCGCGGUAAUACGUAGGGAGCGAGCGUUGUCCGGAAUUACUGGGUGUAAAGGGAGCGUAGGCGGGGAUGCAAGUUGGAUGUUUAAACUAUCGGCUUAACCGGUAAUUGCAACCAAAACUGCAACUCUUGAGUGAAGUAGAG